RNAcentral lists this unclassified non-coding RNA (168 nucleotides) under uncultured Phoma. RNAcentral's name for it is "sequence contains ITS1". The record is from RNAcentral. Lineage: Eukaryota; Fungi; Ascomycota.
CAAUUUUGGUACAUCGGGUCGCCCCCCGGGGCGGCUCCGGUGUCACCAAUCGAGAUACCAACCCAUGUCUUUUGAGCACCUCACGUUUCCUCGGCGGGCUCGCCUGCCAAUGGGGACCCCUUUAAACCUUUUGUGUAUGCAGUAAACGUCUACAAAACAAUUAAAUCA